RNAcentral lists this ribosomal RNA (491 nucleotides) under uncultured bacterium. RNAcentral describes it as "partial 16S ribosomal RNA". It matches the Rfam family "Bacterial small subunit ribosomal RNA", at positions 28 to 507 of the family's 1533-position model. The record is from RNAcentral.
GAUGAACGCUGGCUACAGGCUUAACACAUGCAAGUCGAGGGGAAACGCCGGGGAAGCUUGCUUCCCCGGGCGUCGACCGGCGCACGGGUGAGUAACGCGUAUCCAACCUGCCUCUGACUGAGGGAUAACCCGUCGAAAGUCGGCCUAAUACCUCAUGGCAUCGUCUGCGGGCAUCCAACGACGAUUAAAGAUUUCAUCGGUCAGGGAUGGGGAUGCGUCUGAUUAGCUUGUUGGCGGGGUAACGGCCCACCAAGGCUACGAUCAGUAGGGGUUCUGAGAGGAAGGUCCCCCACAUUGGAACUGAGACACGGUCCAAACGCCUACGGGAGGCAGCAGUGAGGAAUAUUGGUCAAGGGGCGGGAGCCUGAACCAGCCAAGUAGCGUGCAGGAUGACGGCCCUAUGGGUUGUAAACUGCUUUUAGGCGGGGAUAAAGUGAGGGACGCGUCCUUCAUUGCAGGUACCGCAUGAAUAAGGACCGGCUAAUUCCGUG